UGGGGAUGACGUCAAAUCAUCAUGCCCCUUAUGACCUGGGCUACACACGUGCUACAAUGGGCGGUACAAAGGGCUGCGAACCCGCGAGGGGGAGCGAAUCCCAAAAAGCCGCUCUCAGUUCGGAUUGCAGGCUGCAACUCGCCUGCAUGAAGCCGGAAUCGCUAGUAAUCGCGGAUCAGCAUGCCGCGGUGAAUACGUUCCCGGGCCUU
This 209-nucleotide ribosomal RNA is filed under the name uncultured Geobacillus sp. RNAcentral's name for it is "partial 16S ribosomal RNA". It matches the Rfam family "Bacterial small subunit ribosomal RNA", at positions 1174 to 1382 of the family's 1533-position model. Lineage: Bacteria; Bacillati; Bacillota; Bacilli; Caryophanales; Anoxybacillaceae. The record is from RNAcentral.